This is a non-coding RNA of Trachemys scripta elegans, 791 nucleotides long. The record is from the annotation of a RefSeq genome assembly. NCBI's taxonomy places the organism in Eukaryota, Metazoa, Chordata, Testudines, Emydidae.
AGCGCGCCCCCGACAGACACCGCGGCCCGUCUUGGAGCACCGGGUGAAGGGCAGAUGCAGAGGAGAGAGACGCAGAGGGAGGUUUCUGCUGUUCACCCCAGGGGUCACUCACAGCUCGAGUUCCGCCAGUAGAAUCACGGCAGGUUAUUCACUGCUCGCCACUCCGCACGAUAAGUCUCUCUCUGGCUUGUAGCUGCGGGGAAAAGGCGGAGCUCCCCUCUGGCUGAUUCCCACGGCGGUCAGACAGACAGAAAAGGGUUUGAGAGACGCUGCUAUUCUGCUGUGAAGAUGGGAACGAUCCCGGGCUCGGGGGUUGUGCUGAUUUUUCUUCUGAUGGCCCCGGGCAGAGCCAAGAUCCAGCAGCCGGGCUCCGCAGAGGGUUUGGAGGGAGCCGAACUGAACCUCACCUGCUCUCACCCCUCAAUCAAGACGAAUGAGAAUGUAGUUUGGUACCGGCAGUUCCCGAACCAAGGACCCCAAUAUAUAGUUUCUGGAUUCCGGGAAACUACUCAUAGCACCGACCCCGAGGGAGCUUUGCAUGUUUCUGGAGACAGAAAGUCCAGCGCCCUGGCUCUGCGCAGGGUGCGGCUGGCGGACGCAGCGGUGUAUUAUUGUGCUCUGAGCGACACAGUGGGACCGCCAGGGGCUGGUCCCGUACAAUAAGUAUCUCACUGAGGCCUGUGUGUGCGUAGGCGGUGGGAGGGGUGAAUGUGGAGUGUGUUUCCAUGAGGGGGAGGGCAGAGGGGCGAUUAGGGGAGAUAAAAGAGAUGAAUAAAACAUUUGGGGCCAAA